RNAcentral lists this ribosomal RNA (491 nucleotides) under uncultured bacterium. RNAcentral describes it as "partial 16S ribosomal RNA". It matches the Rfam family "Bacterial small subunit ribosomal RNA", at positions 29 to 507 of the family's 1533-position model. The record is from RNAcentral.
GUGAACGCUGGCGGUAGGCCUAACACAUGCAAGUCGAACGGCAGCACAGUAAGAGCUUGCUCUUACGGGUGGCGAGUGGCGGACGGGUGAGGAAUACAUCGGAAUCUACUUUUUCGUGGGGGAUAACGUAGGGAAACUUACGCUAAUACCGCAUACGACCUACGGGUGAAAGCAGGGGAUCUUCGGACCUUGCGCGAUUGAAUGAGCCGAUGUCGGAUUAGCUAGUUGGCGGGGUAAAGGCCCACCAAGGCGACGAUCCGUAGCUGGUCUGAGAGGAUGAUCAGCCACACUGGCACUGAGACACGGUCCAGACUCCUACGGGAGGCAGCAGUGGGGAAUAUUGGACAAUGGGCGCAAGCCUGAUCCAGCCAUACCGCGUGGGUGAAGAAGGCCUUCGGGUUGUAAAGCCCUUUUGUUGGGAAAGAAAAGCAGCAGGUUAAUACCCCGCUGUUCUGACGGUACCCAAAGAAUAAGCACCGGCUAACUUCGUG